This is a long non-coding RNA of Trichomycterus rosablanca, 771 nucleotides long. RefSeq lists it as uncharacterized. The record is from RefSeq and is a predicted model, not a curated record. Lineage: Eukaryota; Metazoa; Chordata; Actinopteri; Siluriformes; Trichomycteridae. The transcript is spliced from 3 exons.
CGUCCGUGCUGGCAUGGACGAGUUUGGCUUCGUGUCUCCCGGUGAAUCGCUUCUUAACGAUUAAAAGCCAUGUGGGCUUGUGUUUGUAGUACCGGUGCUAUGUUGCUGGUUUUCUCUGCGUUGCUGUUGCCGUGUUUCGCCUUCAGUCGAGUGAAAAUAGCGGCUGCAUUACACUACUGUGACUACGGUAGCUGUUGUGCCUGCUGGUCUGUACUCUGACUUUCACUGCGCGGAAAACUGCAUUGCUGUAUCCUGGUCCUUUAACCUGGAUCGUGCUGGCUCGGGUUCCAGUUUCCUGAGUGCUGCUGUUUUGCCUUCAUUGGUGUUUUGCCUUUAUUGGUGUUCUGCUGGAACUAUUGUUUUGUCUGGAUUGCUGUUUUGCCUGAGAGACUGUUUUGCCUGCAUUGGGUUUUGCCUAAACUACUGUUUGGAGCUGUGGGCCAAAGCAGGAGGCUGAUGGACUUUGGUGGUGGAACCUCUUUCACUUGCCCUGCAGUCUAGAGCACAUUGGGUGUUAUUGAGGUGUGCGGUGUGAUCACGUGUGGUGUGUAGUGUAGGAGAUUCCUUUACUUCCAUAUUUUCCGCUGCCGUGGUAAGCCCUCAGCCCUGUUCCUUCCUGCCCUGGUUGUCUUUAUAAAUUAUAAAUGGACCCAUAGAGUAUUAAAUGUGAUGCGGCUAAUCAUUUUAUACUAAUUGUGUCUGUUUUAGAACGUGGCUUGUCAUGUGGAAACUUUUGUAAACAAUUGUUAAUAAAACUAAGUGUUGGAAGUA